This is a small nucleolar RNA of Lampris incognitus (smalleye Pacific opah), 130 nucleotides long. NCBI's taxonomy places the organism in Eukaryota, Metazoa, Chordata, Actinopteri, Lampriformes, Lampridae. The record is from RefSeq and is a predicted model, not a curated record.
CUGCACUGUCAAGUGACUGGACUACCCCUAUCAUGGUCUUCCAAUCUCAUUCCAGUGCCAGAUAGACCUCAGUUUGCAGAAGGGUGGGGUUAGAUGAAUGAUUUCCCCCUUUCGAAGGCUGAGAACAACC